Molecule: ribosomal RNA, 381 nt
Filed under: Triticum aestivum (bread wheat)
Lineage: Eukaryota; Viridiplantae; Streptophyta; Magnoliopsida; Poales; Poaceae
Description: partial small subunit ribosomal RNA
Source: RNAcentral
AUGCUUGAUCUGUCGGAUAACCAGCCUACAGGUGCAAUACCAUCUGCACUGAAUGAUUUGCACUUCCUUUCUACAUUUGAUGUUUCCAACAACAGGCUAGAAGGACCAGUUCCAACUGGAGGACAGUUUCAUACAUUCUCAAAUUCCAGCUACAGUGGGAAUCCAAAGCUAUGUGGACCCAUGCUCAACCUCGAUUGCACCUCCACGGCAACAGAUCAAACCUCCGCCUCACAGCGGCAUAGCUUGCGCUUUGCACUGGUCACUGGAAUCACCUCGGGAGGACUCAUUGCUCUUGCAUUGCUUGCGUGUUUCCUUAUUGCACGGUUAGUAUACUAUGACCACACUGAAAAUGUAGUUCCCCUUCGAAGCAGGCGGCGAUGA